This 206-nucleotide ribosomal RNA is filed under the name uncultured bacterium. RNAcentral describes it as "partial 16S ribosomal RNA". It matches the Rfam family "Bacterial small subunit ribosomal RNA", at positions 1295 to 1500 of the family's 1533-position model. The record is from RNAcentral.
GGAUUGUAGUCUGNAACCCGACUACACGAAGCUGGAAUCGCUAGUAAUCGCGAAUCAGAAUGUCGCGGUGAAUACGUUCCCGGGUCUUGUACACACCGCCCGUCACACCAUGGGAGUCGGAAAUGCCCAAAGUCAGUGACCUAACCGAAAGGGAGGAGCUGCCGAAGGUGGAGCCGGUAACUGGGGUGAAGUCGUAACAAGGUAGC